CUGUGGUCAUAUCAUAUUGAAACACCAGUUCUCAUAUGAUCACUGAAGUUAAGCAACAUCGAACAUGGUCAGUCCCUAGAUGGUUGACCACUUGGGAAUACCAUGUGCUGUAAG
Non-coding RNA from Acanthosepion pharaonis, 114 nucleotides. The record is from the annotation of a GenBank genome assembly. Lineage: Eukaryota; Metazoa; Mollusca; Cephalopoda; Sepiida; Sepiidae.